UACGUAGGGACCAAGCGUUGUUCGGAUUUACUGGGCGUAAAGGGCGCGUAGGCGGCAACUCAAGUCAGCUGUGAAAUCUCCGGGCUUAACUCGGAACGGUCAGCUGAUACUGUUUUGCUAGAGUGCAGAAGGGGCAAUCGGAAUUCUUGGUGUAGCGGUGAAAUGCGUAGAUAUCAAGAGGAACACCUGAGGUGAAGACGGGUUGCUGGGCUGACACUGACGCUGAUGCGCGAAAGCCAGGGGAGCGAACAGG
RNAcentral lists this ribosomal RNA (253 nucleotides) under uncultured bacterium. Its description in RNAcentral is "partial 16S ribosomal RNA". It matches the Rfam family "Bacterial small subunit ribosomal RNA", at positions 524 to 776 of the family's 1533-position model. The record is from RNAcentral.